AACAAGGUUUCCGUAGGUGAACCUGCGGAAGGAUCAUUAUUGAAUAAAGCUUGGUUGGGUUGUAGCUGGCUCUCCGGGGCAUGUGCACGCCUGACGCCAAUCUUUUCACCACCUGUGCACCUUUUGUAGGCUUGGAUAAAUAUAUCUCGAGGAAGCUCGGUUUGAGGACUGCCGUGCUGCAAAGGCCAGGCUUUCCUUGUAUUUUUUCUAGCCUAUGUGUUUUAUUAUAUACUCAGCAUGCCUUGGAAUGUUAUUUGGUGGGCUUAAUUGCCAGUAAACCUUAUACAACUUUCAACAACGGAUCUCUUGGCUCUCGCAUCGAUGAAGAACGCAGCGAAAUGCGAUAAGUAAUGUGAAUUGCAGAAUUCAGUGAAUCAUCGAAUCUUUGAACGCACCUUGCGCUCCUUGGUAUUCCGAGGAGCAUGCCUGUUUGAGUGUCAUGAAAUUCUCAACCCUCUCAGCUUUUGCUGAAUUGGCUUGGAUUUUGGGAGUUUUUGCAGGCUUCUCAGAAGUCUGCUCUCCUUAAAUGUAUUAGCGGGGGCCCUUGUUGUCUAGCAUUUGGUGUGAUAAUUAUCUACGCCAUUGUGAACAAUGUAAUAGGGAGUUCGGCUUCUAAUCGUCUCGCAAAGAGACAAUCUCUGACAUUUUGACCUCAAAUCAGGUAGGACUACCCGCU
This 676-nucleotide ribosomal RNA is filed under the name uncultured Tricholomataceae. Its description in RNAcentral is "eukaryotic LSU rRNA". The stretch from base 287 to 440 matches the Rfam family "5.8S ribosomal RNA". Lineage: Eukaryota; Fungi; Basidiomycota; Agaricomycetes; Agaricales; Tricholomataceae. The record is from RNAcentral.